RNAcentral lists this ribosomal RNA (748 nucleotides) under uncultured Peptoniphilus sp. RNAcentral's name for it is "bacterial SSU rRNA". It matches the Rfam family "Bacterial small subunit ribosomal RNA", at positions 28 to 776 of the family's 1533-position model. Lineage: Bacteria; Bacillati; Bacillota; Tissierellia; Tissierellales; Peptoniphilaceae. The record is from RNAcentral.
GACGAACGCUGGCGGCGCGCUUAACACAUGCAAGUCGAGCGAUGAGAUCUUGACAGAACCCUUCGGGGUGAAGAUAAGAUGGAUUAGCGGCGGACGGGUGAGUAACACGUGAGUAACCUGCCUUAGACAUUGGGAUAGCCUCGGGAAACCGGGAUUAAUACCAAAUGAAAUCACAUAUGCACAUGCAUAAAUGAUCAAAGCUCCGGCGGUCUAAGAUGGACUCGCGUCCCAUUAGCUAGUUGGUGAGGUAACGGCCCACCAAGGCGACGAUGGGUAGCCGGCCUGAGAGGGUGAACGGCCACAUUGGAACUGAGAAACGGUCCAAACUCCUACGGGAGGCAGCAGUGGGGAAUAUUGCACAAUGGAGGGAACUCUGAUGCAGCGACGCCGCGUGAACGAAGAAGGCUUUCGAGUCGUAAAGUUCUUUUAUAUGGGAAGAUAAUGACGGUACCAUAAGAAAAAGCCCCGGCUAACUACGUGCCAGCAGCCGCGGUAAUACGUAGGGGGCUAGCGUUGUCCGGAAUCACUGGGCGUAAAGGGUUCGCAGGCGGAAAUGCAAGUCAGGUGUAAAAGGCAGUAGCUUAACUACUGUAAGCAUUUGAAACUGCAUAUCUUGAGAAGAGUAGAGGUAAGUGGAAUUUUUAGUGUAGCGGUGAAAUGCGUAGAUAUUAAAAAGAAUACCGGUGGCGAAGGCGACUUACUGGGCUCAUUCUGACGCUGAGGAACGAAAGCGUGGGUAGCAAACAGG